GACGAACGCUGGCGGCGUGCCUAACACAUGCAAGUCAAGGCGGUAGCAAUACCGACUGGCGCACGGGUGCGGAACACGUAGGCAAUCUGCCCUUAAGGGGAGAACAACUUGUCGAAAGGCGAGCUAAAUCUCCGUAAUAUAUUCGGAUGGCAUCAUCUGAAUAUCAAGCUUUCUUAGGGAUGAGCCUGCGUCUGAUUAGCUAGUUGGUAGUGUAAUGGACUACCAAGGCUACGAUCAGUAGCUGGUCUGAGAGGAUGAUCAGCCACAUUG
This 270-nucleotide ribosomal RNA is filed under the name uncultured bacterium. Its description in RNAcentral is "partial 16S ribosomal RNA". It matches the Rfam family "Bacterial small subunit ribosomal RNA", at positions 28 to 315 of the family's 1533-position model. The record is from RNAcentral.